AGCAGCCGCGGUAAUUCCCAGCUCCAAUAGCGUAUAUUAAAGUUGUUGCAGUUAAAAAGCUCGUAGUUGAAUUUCGGGGUUAUAGGUUGGUCAUGCCUCUGGUAUGUACUGAUCUCACUGAUUCCUCCUUCCUGAUGAACCGUAAUGCCAUUAAUUUGGUGUUGCGGGGAAUUUGGACUGUUACUUUGAAAAAAUUAGAGUGUUUAAAGCAAGCUAACGCUUGAAUACAUUAGCAUGGAAUAAUGAAAUAGGACGUUCGAUCCUAUUUUGUUGGUUUCUAGGAUUUGACGUAAUGAUUAAUAGGGAUAGUUGGGGGCAUUAGUAUUCAAUUGUCAGAGGUGAAAAUUCUUGGAUUUUAUUGAAGACUAACUACUGCGAAAGCAUUUGCCAAGGAUGUUUUCAUUAAUCAAGAACGAAAGUUAGGGAUCGAAGACGAUCAGAUACCGUCGUAGUCUUAACCAUAAACUAUAGCCGACUAGGGAUCGGGAUGAUGUUAAUUUUUUAAUGUACUCAUUCGGCG
RNAcentral lists this ribosomal RNA (520 nucleotides) under uncultured Glomus. RNAcentral's name for it is "SSU rRNA". It matches the Rfam family "Eukaryotic small subunit ribosomal RNA", at positions 569 to 1085 of the family's 1831-position model. The record is from RNAcentral. Lineage: Eukaryota; Fungi; Glomeromycota; Glomeromycetes; Glomerales; Glomeraceae.